GAUGAACGCUGGCGGCGUGCCUAAUACAUGCAAGUCGAGCGAACGGACGAGAAGCUUGCUUCUCUGAUGUUAGCGGCGGACGGGUGAGUAACACGUGGAUAACCUACCUAUAAGACUGGGAUAACUUCGGGAAACCGGAGCUAAUACCGGAUAAUAUUUUGAACCGCAUGGUUCAAAAGUGAAAGACGGUCUUGCUGUCACUUAUAGAUGGAUCCGCGCUGCAUUAGCUAGUUGGUAAGGUAACGGCUUACCAAGGCAACGAUGCAUAGCCGACCUGAGAGGGUGAUCGGCCACACUGGAACUGAGACACGGUCCAGACUCCUACGGGAGGCAGCAGUAGGGAAUCUUCCGCAAUGGGCGAAAGCCGGACGGAGCAACGCCGCGUGAGUGAUGAAGGUCUUCGGAUCGUAAAACUCUGUUAUUAGGGAAGAACAUAUGGUAAGUAACUGUGCACAUCUGGACGGUACCUAAUCAGAAAGCCACGGCUAACUACGU
RNAcentral lists this ribosomal RNA (495 nucleotides) under uncultured bacterium. RNAcentral describes it as "partial 16S ribosomal RNA". It matches the Rfam family "Bacterial small subunit ribosomal RNA", at positions 28 to 506 of the family's 1533-position model. The record is from RNAcentral.